This 500-nucleotide unclassified non-coding RNA is filed under the name Hevea brasiliensis (rubber tree). The record is from RNAcentral. Lineage: Eukaryota; Viridiplantae; Streptophyta; Magnoliopsida; Malpighiales; Euphorbiaceae.
CCAUCAGUUAGAAAUUGAAAUAUUGUGUUCGUGGUUCAUGAAUUCCUAUUAGGUUUAUAAACAUUUAGUGUGUGCAUUUCAUUUUGAGCUGGUCUGAGAGUGUGUACGCAGGAGAAAUGGGACUAAUGGACUCUUAUGCUUGUUUGGAGCUCUAAAGUUGUCCUAGGCAAAAACAAAUUUUUGGGACAGCAUUUUUCAUGAUAAUGCAAUGCCAGGUUUCUUUGACCAAUUGAUUGCUGAUAUCCAAAUGUACCUAAAAUUAUGCUUCCAAUGUUGCAUGCACAUAAACUGCAGUGGAAGUACAGAAACAAAUGGUGUCGUUUUGAAUUUUUGUAGGAUGAAGACUAUUCAAGCAGCGAACAUAUGGGUAGUCUGCUUCUGAGACUAUAUCUAUUCGGGUAACUUGAUGAUCUGGUGAUAUAGUAUAUAGCUCAUUCCAUGAAUUCUAUAUUUCAAUGCAUUUAUAAAACAUGGGUAGUUUGCUUCUGAGACUAAAUCUU